This 465-nucleotide ribosomal RNA is filed under the name uncultured bacterium. RNAcentral describes it as "bacterial SSU rRNA". It matches the Rfam family "Bacterial small subunit ribosomal RNA", at positions 330 to 793 of the family's 1533-position model. The record is from RNAcentral.
ACCAGACUCCUACGGGAGGCAGCAGUGAGGAAUAUUGGUCAAUGGCCGAGAGGCUGAACCAGCCAAGUCGCGUGAGGGAAGACGGCCCUACGGGUUGUAAACCUCUUUUGUCGGGGAGCAAAGCGAGUCACGUGUGACUCAUUGAGAGUACCCGAAGAAAAAGCAUCGGCUAACUCCGUGCCAGCAGCCGCGGUAAUACGGAGGAUGCGAGCGUUAUCCGGAUUUAUUGGGUUUAAAGGGUGCGCAGGCGGAAGAUCAAGUCAGCGGUAAAAUUGAGAGGCUCAACCUCUUCGAGCCGUUGAAACUGGGGGCCUUGAGUGGGCGAGAAGAAGGCGGAAUGCGUGGUGUAGCGGUGAAAUGCAUAGAUAUCACGCAGAACCCCGAUUGCGAAGGCAGCCUUCCGGCGCCCUACUGACGCUGAGGCACGAAAGUGCGGGGAUCGAACAGGAUUAGAUACCCGAGUAC